CCUCCGCCUCCUGGGUUCAAGUGAUUCUCCUGCCUCAGCCUCCCAAGUAGUUGGGAUUACAGGUGCCCACCACCACACCUGGCUAAUUUUUGUAGUUUUAGUAGAGACAGGGUUUCACUAUGUUGGCUUGGCUGGUGUCUGAACUCAAGACCUCAAGUGAUCUGCCUGCCUCGGCCUCCCAAAGUGCUGGGGUUACAGACGUGAGCCACUGCGCCUGGCUGACAUACACAACCUAAGGCUAGAAAUGUAAAAUGUUGGUUCACAGUGCAAUGAGCACAUUCCAAAGAAAACUCAAAUGGCUCCUUUGUACUCUAAAAACAGUAAAUUUGCAGCAAGAUGAUAGUCAAGUUCUGUGUCUUCAGGGUGUCAUUGCAUCUAUGAUUUAGACUAACCUAGAGAUUUGUUUACUUGCCAAAUAGAGUUCUUCAAGAUGCUGUUUGGAUUUGUCUUACCAUCUCCAACUGCCAUAUCGGCAUUUUUGUCUGUACCCAAAUUCAUAUUACUGAAGUGUUAGAGCUGAUUUCAGUGACUCCAGUUUCUUCUUAAAACAUGUCACUCCCAUAAUAUGAGUUAACAAUGGGUUAUAUUCUACCUUUCCAAUUUAUCCUGUUCUCAAUUACAUCUUUCCCCUACCCUGGUUGGUUUGGUAAAUAUAUAUAUAUUUUUAACUCUACAGACCCAGGAACUUGAAUAUAUUUAUAUUUCCCAAUAAGCUAAAUGCAAUGCUGACAGUUUAAUAUUGAUUGGCGAGAUGGAAAGAACUUAAUACUCCCUAAAAGCAAAGCACUGUAGAAGUCUGUUUCACAAACUGUUCGUUAACUGAGUGGAUUAUUGGAGAAGGUAUUUUAAUACUAAUAACUCCUCAGAUUUGAAGCCAGAAAUUUUGAAUUAAUUUAAAUGCUAGCCUAAGUCCAAGUAUAAUGGAUAAGUAAAUGUUGCUCCCAGAAUUGGUCUUGCAAAGUAAGACCAAUUGUAAGACCAAAGUAAGUGGUUUUGUUGUAAGCUAUGCACACUUUCAGUACAGAUCACCAAGAACUGAUGACAUUGUCCCCUAAAAGACUUAAGUAGUUGCCUCCUAGGUAUAUCCUUUUUCAGUCAUUCUCUUUUAAGCUUCUUACAGAAGAAGCUUUAAGUUGCCUCUGAAUUUAGUGGUACUGCCUCAAUGAGAAUUUCUGCAUAUUUCUCUUUGGGAUGGAAUCAUUUUGGUUCUUUUUUGUUGUUGUUUUGGUAACUAUACGUAAAGAGAUUAAUACAUAAUGUCUUGUGAAGAGACUAGUAUGUAUGUAUAUUAUUCCUUGGGUUGGGAGUCUUUAAGCAUUACUUCAGGACGCUGACCCUGGUCUUCAAGUUUAUAGGAUCAGCUAGCUUAAACAAUGCUCUCAAAACCAAGCGAUCGAGCAUUCAUACAUUUUAACACCCCACACCCUAAAUCCCAUAAGCAGCCCUGUUCCUUUUGCCGUUAAAAAUCUCAGUCCUUCAUGAUCACACCUAAUGACUGAAACAUUCUUGAACUAAUUGCAUUGUUUCUGCUUUGCUUUUCUUCAACAUGUUUUAAAAAGUGUGCUACACAUGCAUGCACAUGUUGACUUUAAGCUGUUCUCUAGUUCAACAUGUAUGUUUUCUUUCCCUCAGCUACAUAGUAAACUGGGGGCAAAGGCUGUGUUUUUUUUUGUUGUUUGUUUGUUUGUUUUCUAGAUGGCGUCUCGCACUGUCACCUGGGCUGGAGUGCAGUGGCGCAAUCUCGGCUCACUGCAACUUCCACCUCCUGGGUUCAAGCGAUUCUCCUGCCUUGGCCUCCCAACGUGCUGGGAUUAUAGGCAUAAACCACCGCGCCUGGCCCCCCAGAGGCUAUGUUUUUAACUUUUUGACAUUUCUUCUAAGAUGUCCAGAAUGCUAGUACCUACCUAUACCUUAAUAAAUGUUUGUGAAUAAAUAUAUUAUUGAAAUCUUAGGCUGGUGUGCCACAUAGCUUAAAUCUGAGACACUGUUCUUCAGUCAGAUCACACAUAUUCCUAGAAUAGUAACCUCAAAUUUGGGUUUAUGCCCUUGCUACCUUUUACAUAUUUUUUGUAGAGACAGGGUCUUGCUCUGUUUCUCAGACUGUUUUUGAACUCCUGGGCUCAAGCAGUCCUCCCACCUUGACUUCCUAAAAGUGCUGGGAUUACAGGUAUGAGCCAUUGUGCCCAGUCCUGAUACUGUGGCCCAUAUUAAUCCUCAUGUAGUAUUUAGUCUUAUUUUGCAAUUUGAGGAAAUAGGCUCAGAGAUGUUAAAGUGUCAGGCCCAGAACUUGAAUCCAGGUUUUGUGAUGAGAAAUUCUUGUUUGUUUUACUACCAGGUGGUUUUUUAAAGCCAGCCUGCUUUUUCCAGUUGGGAGGCCUUGGGGAGAAAAGUCUGACCCAAGUGAAAAACACCUGUAAUAUCUACCAGAUGCCAGCAGGGUGUCCCAUGGUGCUGUCUUUGAUCCACGUUCUUACCCCAUGUACUGAGGGUUGUUCUAGAGUAGGACUACAUCUAGUCACAGUGGCCAUGGUCCAGAGCCUGGCAGCAAGAAAGUGGGAUGCCUAGCUCCUUGACUUUCCAGUGUGCAGUGCAUAGCCAGCUCUCAGAGAAGCCCUUGCCCUCUUUUGACCUCUACCAUUGAGGCUGGCCCACAGGAGUACAGCUGGUCACACAGUGGCCAGGGCCUGGUAGCCACUCAAUAACUAUGCAGCAGCCCCACAAAAAAAAUCAUAGAAAAGAACCUGUGAAAGGGUAAAUGUUUAAAACAUCUGCAUUUGUGUUGAUAGCUGAGUAUACACUUAAAUUUGUAUUAGUAACAGAUCCACAAAAAUGACCCACUCUAGGAAGAUGAGUUUUAAAAGCCAGUGUGUGGUAACUUCGUUUCCAAUAAAAAUGUUUGCAUUACACUUAGCAUAUGCAUACAACCUCUUAGGUAUCGGUUUUUGUAUUCAGCAACCCUAGUUGGUCAUCUACAGUGUCAAAACUAUCACUUAUGUGAAAACAAAUGAGCAAAUAGCCCUUUAAAAAUUUCCUUUCCCAGUGCUCCUUAAACACUUUAUACAAAUAUCUGUAACUGUUUUAUAAUUAUUUCUUUGCAAGUCUUGGUUUCUUCACUAGAGAAUAUUCUUAGAAGUAUCCCCAGUGACAGUACAGCUCCUGGCAUUUAGUAGGUGCUCAGUAAUUAUUUUACUGAAAUACUAAUGCUUCCGUAAUAGUUCUGGGAUAAUUCUACACACGAGCCAUUUUUCUAAGAAGAGUUCACAUUAGAGAGGUCUUUGUUUUGUAUUCAAGAUGAUUAAUUAUGAACUGGGAAGUUAGUCCCUGGGGUGUCCUGGCUGGCCUUUGGAAAUCUUCACUACAUCUUUCUGGGUUGGAAUUCUCACCACAGCCUUAAUGUGGGGCUGUAUCUGAGCUGUCUCUGAGUGCUGUCCAUUUGAUAUGUCGAGGACUGGGUGUUUACCAGGGCUCUUCAAGCCAUUGGGAGAAACAGCUGAAGAGUAACCUACUGAUUUGAGAUGUGGAUUUGUACCCCAUCCCUUUCUCCUCCCUGUUUCCCACAGGAGUUUUAUCUCAAACUCCUAAGUCAUUUUUAAGGAGAUCACUGGAACAAACUCCAAACCUACCCUCUAAUAGUCAAGUUUACCUGAAUUUUCUUAGUUCUCUUGGGAGAAGACUAAUCACACAUUGUAGUACCAACUUGGACUCUUCAUGUGCUUUUAUUAACUGAUUAGAGUAACGCCUCAGCUAAAGUGUAUAGAACAUACAUGGGGCUUCCUCAGGCUUCAGAAUCAGCUUCACUAGAUGUGCUAUGUAGGAGGCCACGGAAAAAUUACUGUAGGAGUAAAAGUUACCAGUUCUGAUGCAAACAAUCCUCUUGUCCCCAAGAAGUAUCACUAAGGGAUUUUUUUUUGUCCCAUAUUAUAAAUUGGCCUGAAAAUAUCCUUUCAUAUGUGAGGAAUGAGUAUAUGGUGACUUUCUCCUUUAAAGUAUGAACUGCUAAAGGACAGAGAUAAUACGUAUUCUGUAUUCCAACACCCACUGUGUGUUUCUGGUCUUUGUACCAGGUGCUCAGGAAGUGUUUUCACUGGCUUGGGUUGACUACUUGCCAUCUGCUCUCUGAGCAUUCAUUUCUGAAUGAAAAGGGAGAAAGUGAAAGGAGUGGUGGGAAGAAAGAGGAAGCUGGAGAAAUAAGAGGAAACAGCUGGAGGAGGGAGGUGACGCUGAGGAGGUGGAACUUACGUAAGGUCAGUAAAACAAAAAGCUAGCUGAGGGCAGGGUCAGGCCCUGGGGGUAGAGGGCUAAUUAACUUCUGUCAGCUAGUUGAAUAGAGCCUUGCGUGCUUUGUUAGAGACCAAAGGUACUUCAAAGGAAAAAAUCUAGAUUCUUCCCUGUGUACCUUAAUAAUUGUUCAUCAGGUCAAAAUCUGUCCUGUCCUCUAGGAAUUCUGGUCUUCCCUCAGGCCUAGCAGAGAGCUUUCUGCCACUACUCAGGCAACCAAGGGUGAAGUGCUUCAAGUAGUAUUUGUGGACAGCAGCAGGUGACCAUUGUGAGGUAGAUAUUUUGUUCUCAUUUUCCAGAUGAGGAAGCUGAGACCCUGAAAGGUUAGGUGACAGAUUAUACAACUUGGAGUGUGGGAGGAGGAGAGAGGAACCUGAACAGAGCAAGUUGGGGAUCUGACUUUUGUUUGGGUGGGUGUAGGCACAUUGUAUUUUUGGUUUAGACGCUUUAUUCAUCAUGGCUGAAGGUAAUACCAUUUACUCACCGAAAAUUGUUUACAAUAAUCAAGAUGAAUUUACUGUCUUUGGACAUCUGUCUUUUGACUGGACCUCAGUAUAUAGUCUGUGAAAGUUCACUUAAGGAGAGGGCUCCUUUUUGUUUGGUUAGAGAAAUUGUCUGUCCUAAAGGUAGAAAUAGCCCCUUCUAGGUAGGGAUGGAGCAUUUGAUCAUACUGAUUUCAUUAUAUUCCUCUAACAGUUGGAACCAAUUGUUUUUGAGUACUUGUUUCAAACUUCUGAAUAUUUUCCUUCUGGAAAGUAGCUCAGUGUUUAAAAUUUAUAUGAACUUAAAAAGUUGAUUUUAAAGAUGUUUGAGGAGCAAUCAACAAUUCUGGUUUUGUCUUAUGGAUAGAAAUAGAAUUAGCCAUUUUCCUCAAGAAAAGUGAUUCUUCUGAAUCUUAUUUCUUCAGUAAUGAGAACUGGACUGUUUUCGUUUGACCUCUAUUUCCUGUUAGUGGGAAACCCCUCCCCAGAGGUGCUGUGUGAAAGAUUGCUGGGGAAAGGGUUUCUAGAUCCCAGCAUAACAAGUUCAGAAGAGCCCAGCAAUAUUGUCAUUAGAAUAAUGGUCUUCAUUAAGUACUGGUUUUCAUAAUCUUGAAGCUUCAUUUUCACCAAUUUGAAAGGCAGUGGCUAGGGAGGAGAGACUAUGCAGGGAAGGAGGAAAACUCAGGAGUGCAUCACAGAGACCUUGAGUUAAGGCAGGAAGAAGCAGAUUUGCUGUCCACUAAAUGAAAAUAAAAAGAAUUCCAUUGUCCAAGGUCAGAGCAAGAACAUAAAGGUUUUAGUUUACUUAGUUAAUUCCUUAGGUUUGGACUACAGGAGACAUGGGGGUCACCCAUAGCAAUUUAGCUGAUAAAUGUAUCAGAAACUCUUUCAUCAUUUUCUGUCCCCUCCUGUCUUAGGCUGACCGGUUCCCUGAUGUGUUACCUGCUUCUGCUACUGAUCCAAACUGCAGAACUUCUCCCCCAAGGCCUCCAGGCAGUAUCCAAUGGGGAAUCAGCUCUAAAAGGAACCAGACCAACGUUUUCCAGCCCCUUCAUUCUGUAGCUACCCUCUGUGUGAGGAAAGGAUAGAAAUGUUCAGGACAUCAUCAGACAGGCUCCUCAUCUACAAAGUUCCAGUAGCAGUGACGCCUACACGGAAGACUUGGAACUGCAAACAGAGGCUGGGGUCACCUCAGUGACAUCUCCUGACGCUGUCCAACCAGAAGUUCGAUUUUUGUUCUGGGGGUGAAGGAGGAAACAGACUGUACUAAAGGACUAAAAUAAUUUCUUGUCUAUACUA
This is a long non-coding RNA of Piliocolobus tephrosceles (Ugandan red Colobus), 6059 nucleotides long. RefSeq lists it as uncharacterized. The transcript has 3 exons. The record is from RefSeq and is a predicted model, not a curated record. Lineage: Eukaryota; Metazoa; Chordata; Mammalia; Primates; Cercopithecidae.